Molecule: ribosomal RNA, 488 nt
Filed under: uncultured bacterium
Lineage: Bacteria
Description: partial 16S ribosomal RNA
Rfam family: Bacterial small subunit ribosomal RNA
Source: RNAcentral
GACGAACGCUGGCGGCGUGCUUAACACAUGCAAGUCGAACGGAAAGGCCCUGCUUUUGUGGGGUGCUCGAGUGGCGCACGGGUGAGUAACACGUGAGUAACCUGCCCUUGACUUUGGGAUAACUUCAGGGAACUGGGGCUAAUACCGGAUAGGAGCUCCUGCUGCAUGGUGUGGGUUGGAAAGUUUCGGCGGUUGGGGAUGGACUCGCGGCUUAUCAGCUUGUUGGUGGGGUAGUGGCUUACCAAGGCUUUGACGGGUAGCCGGCCUGAGCGGGUGAUCGGCGACCUGGGAAGGGAGACGGGAACCAUGGGCCUACGAGAGGGAGCAGAAGGCUACCGGCGGCAGCAGUGGGGAAUAUUACAGAGCGGCGGGGAGCCUGAGGCGGAGACGCCCGGUGCGGGAUGCCGGCCUACGGGUUGUAAACCGCUUUCGACGUAGAUGAAGAGGUAGUGACGGUAAUGGGUCAAGAAGCACCGGCUAACUACGUG